GGAAGUAGAAGUCGUAACAAGGUUUCCGUAGGUGUACCUGCGGAAGGAUCAUUAUUGUAUAACCGAGGUGCGAGGGCUGUCGCUGACCCGAAAGGUCGUGCACGCCCGAGUGCCCUCACACACAUCCAUCUCACCCCUAUGUGCACCACCGCGUGGGUCCCCCUUUGGCUUGUUCGGAGGGGGGCUUACGUUUUCACACAAACUUUGUAUGCAGUGUAGAAUGCAUUUUUUGUUUUUGCGAUCACGCAAUCAAUACAACUUUCAACAACGGAUCUCUUGGCUCUC
Molecule: unclassified non-coding RNA, 285 nt
Filed under: plant metagenome
Description: partial contains small subunit ribosomal RNA, internal transcribed spacer 1, and 5.8S ribosomal RNA
Rfam family: Eukaryotic small subunit ribosomal RNA (bases 1-54)
Source: RNAcentral